RNAcentral lists this ribosomal RNA (253 nucleotides) under uncultured bacterium. RNAcentral's name for it is "partial 16S ribosomal RNA". It matches the Rfam family "Bacterial small subunit ribosomal RNA", at positions 524 to 776 of the family's 1533-position model. The record is from RNAcentral.
GACAGAGGGGGCAAGCGUUGCUCGGAAUUACUGGGCGUAAAGGGCGCGUAGGCGGGAUGGCAAGCCGGUCGUGAAAUCCCUCGGCUCAACCGAGGAACGUCGAUCGAUACUGCUGUUCUUGAGGAUUGCAGAGGAGACUGGAAUUCCCGGUGUAGCGGUGAAAUGUGUAGAGAUCGGGAGGAACACCGGUGGCGAAGGCGGGUCUCUGGGCAAUUCCUGACGCUGAGGCGCGAAAGCGUGGGGAGCAAACGGG